AACGAACGCUGGCGGCAGGCCUAACACAUGCAAGUCGAGCGCCCCAGCGAUGGGGAGGCGGCGGACGGGUGAGUAACGCGUGGGAACGUGCCCCUUUCUGCGGAAUAGCCUCGGGAAACUGGGAGUAAUACCGCAUAAGCCCUACGGGGGAAAGAUUUAUCGGGAAGGGAUCGGCCCGCGUUGGAUUAGGUAGUUGGUGGGGUAAUGGCCUACCAAGCCGACGAUCCAUAGCUGGUUUGAGAGGAUGAUCAGCCACACUGGGGACUGAGACACGGCCCAGACUCCUACGGGAGGCAGCAGUGGGGGAAUCUUAGACAAUGGGCGCAAGCCUGAUCUAGCCAUGCCCGCGUGAGCGAUGAAGGCCCUUUAGGGGUUGUAAAGCUCUUUCGGCCGGGAAGAAAUACGCACAGGUUAAUACCCUGUGUGGAUGACGGUACCGGAAUAAGAAGCACCGGCUAACUACGUGCCAGCAGCCGCGGUAAAGUAC
This 487-nucleotide ribosomal RNA is filed under the name uncultured bacterium. Its description in RNAcentral is "bacterial SSU rRNA". It matches the Rfam family "Bacterial small subunit ribosomal RNA", at positions 29 to 526 of the family's 1533-position model. The record is from RNAcentral.